AGAUGGAUAUUCGCUAAUAGACUAAAAUUUGUCAAAAUAUUUUCAAUUGUGAGAUUGUCUAAUUUAGAGGGAGUUUGAAAUUAUUAAAAAAAAAAACUCCUAUGUUUAAAAAGAUGUGAAAAGAGUUACAUCCAAAAGGAGUGUGAAAACUACCACCACAUGUAGGAAAGAGCUACCACCCCGGUCGUCCAGCAAGUGUGUGAAGCUACCACAUGAAGAUUGAGUUGAAUAACCGAAAAGGUUGAGAAAAAUUGAAUAUUUUAGAAUUUUCGGAGUUAUAAGGUGUUAGUUUGAAAAUGAUGCUCAAAGAGCCACCCCCGGUAUCAUAUUAGU
RNAcentral lists this long non-coding RNA (333 nucleotides) under Ananas comosus (pineapple). RNAcentral's name for it is "long non-coding RNA (ACOM_LNC036386)". Lineage: Eukaryota; Viridiplantae; Streptophyta; Magnoliopsida; Poales; Bromeliaceae. The record is from RNAcentral.